Esox lucius (northern pike) is the source of this 556-nucleotide long non-coding RNA. RefSeq lists it as uncharacterized. The transcript has 3 exons. The record is from RefSeq and is a predicted model, not a curated record. NCBI's taxonomy places the organism in Eukaryota, Metazoa, Chordata, Actinopteri, Esociformes, Esocidae.
CGGGAAAUCCGAGCCUCGAUGAUGGUGACGUCAAAAAUAGGUUUAAGUUGGUGCGUGUCAAUGAAACGAAUUUGUUCACCAUUAUUAUUAAAGGGAGGAAAUCGCGUCUCAACUGUACGCAAAAAAGACUUUGGCAUAUGCAUAGCACGAAAGUGUGAACCGGUGUUAUAUGUACGCAAAAGGAAGAUAGCGGGAAGGACUCUGCCAAGGGAUGAUUGCUUUUGUUGUAGCCGACUCAACUCCGUCCAUACAGAGGGACAGAGGAUGGAGAGGAAAGGUGCACUCGUAAAGCUCGCUGACCCAGACGCUAAAAUGAACCACCUUCUCAAUCAGGAGAUCCUCUGGCAGCCAUGACUUCAGUACAGUGUAAACCAAAGAUGUCACCGUGAACGUUAUCAUCACCGCUAAAAGGUUUUACUGGCGAAGUUCAAGUGGAUUUUGAAGGUCAAACAAGUAGGGGGCCUCCUUCACACAUCUCUGUGAAGACCUUACUGUGUCGGCUUAAGUGUUCUUUAGGAAGAUUUAACUCACAAAAUGUUUUGGUCGCAUCUUAAUA